CACGUAGGCACCAAGCGUCGUCCGGAAUUAUUGGGCGUAAAGAGCUCGUAGGCGGUCUGUCACGUCGGCUGUGAAAACCCGAGGCUCAACCUCGGGCCUGCAGUCGAUACGGGCAAACUAGAGUACUGCAGGGGAGACUGGAAUUCCUGGUGUAGCGGUGAAAUGCGCAGAUAUCAGGAGGAACACCGGUGGCGAAGGCGGGUCUCUGGGCAGUAACUGACGCUGAGGAGCGAAAGCGUGGGGAGCGAACAGG
This 253-nucleotide ribosomal RNA is filed under the name uncultured bacterium. RNAcentral's name for it is "partial 16S ribosomal RNA". It matches the Rfam family "Bacterial small subunit ribosomal RNA", at positions 524 to 776 of the family's 1533-position model. The record is from RNAcentral.